RNAcentral lists this ribosomal RNA (499 nucleotides) under uncultured bacterium. Its description in RNAcentral is "partial 16S ribosomal RNA". It matches the Rfam family "Bacterial small subunit ribosomal RNA", at positions 29 to 507 of the family's 1533-position model. The record is from RNAcentral.
ACGAACGCUGGCGGCGUGCCUAAUACCUGCAAGUCGAGCGGACUGAUUAAGAGCUUGCUCUUAUGACGUUCGCGGCGGACGGGUGAGUAACACGUGGGCAACCUGCCCUGUAGAUCGGGAUAACACCGAGAAAUCGGUGCUAAUACCGGGUAAUAUCUGAGAUCACAUGAUCUUAGGUUAAAAGAUGGCUCCGGCUAUCACUACAGGAUGGGCCCGCGGCGCAUUAGCUAGUUGGUAAGGUAAUGGCUUACCAAGGCGACGAUGCGUAGCCGACCUGAGAGGGUGAUCGGCCACACUGGGACUGAGACACGGCCCAGACUCCUACGGGAGGCAGCAGUAGGGAAUCUUCCGCAAUGGACGAAAGUCUGACGGAGCAACGCCGCGUGAGUGAUGAAGGGUUUCGGCUCGUAAAGCUCUGUUGUUAGGGAAGAAACAGUACCGAACGAACUAGGUCGGUACCUUGACGGUACCUAACCAGAAAGCCACGGCUAACUACGUG